GCCAGCAUGGCAUAGUGGUUUGAGUGAUGGACUGCAACUGGACUGAGACCAGGGUUCGAUUCCCAGUUUGGUCA
Phrynosoma platyrhinos (Desert horned lizard) is the source of this 74-nucleotide non-coding RNA. The record is from the annotation of a GenBank genome assembly. NCBI's taxonomy places the organism in Eukaryota, Metazoa, Chordata, Lepidosauria, Squamata, Phrynosomatidae.